This 345-nucleotide ribosomal RNA is filed under the name Triticum aestivum (bread wheat). RNAcentral describes it as "partial small subunit ribosomal RNA". The record is from RNAcentral. Lineage: Eukaryota; Viridiplantae; Streptophyta; Magnoliopsida; Poales; Poaceae.
AUGUUUGCUGACCACCUUUUCUACAAAUGCCGCUUCUCUAUCCGCCUAUGGGGAUUAGUCAAGGACUGGCUGCAACUGGUGAGCAUUGAUACUUCCUCAUGGCACCUCUCAGGCAACAUCGAAGAGUGGUGGGUGGGCCUCUCCGACACAUCUAUCCCCAACAGGAAGGCGAUGGCCUCGCUCAUCAUGCUAGUCGCCUGGACCAUUUGGAACGAGAGGAAUGCGCGAGUGUUCCGUCAGAAGAGUGCUCCGCCGACGGUUCUACUCGCCAACAUUAAGAAGGAGGCCACACUUUGGGUAUCAGCGGGUGCAAGCAAGUUGGGAUACUUGAUGACGCGAGAGUAG